AACGAACGCUGGCGGCGCGUUUUAAGCAUGCAAGUCGGACGGCAAGGAGAGUAGCAAUACUUUCCCUAGAGUGGCGAACGGGUGAGUAACACGUAGGUGAUCUACCUCUGGGUGGGGGAUAGCCCGUGGAAACACGGGGUAAUACCGCAUGAGGCCUUGUGGGUAAAGCCAUGAGGUGAAAGGUGCAAUUGCACCGUCUGGGGAUGAGCCUGCGGUCCAUUAGGUAGUUGGCGGGGUAAGAGCCCACCAAGCCGACGAUGGAUAGCCGGCCUGAGAGGGUGUACGGCCACACUGGAACUGAGACACGGUCCAGACUCCUACGGGAGGCAGCAGCUAAGAAUCUUCCGCAAUGGGGGAAACCCUGACGGAGCGACGCCGCGUGGAUGAUGAAGGCCGUAAGGUUGUAAAAUCCUUUUGUCGGUGAAGAAUAAGGGAGGGAGUGGAAAGCCCUUCUGAUGACGUUAGCCGACGAAUAAGCCCCGGCUAAUUACGUGCCAGCAGCCGCGGUAAUACGUAUGGGGCAAGCGUUGUUCGGAUUUAUUGGGCGUAAAGGGCGUGUAGGCGGCUCAUCAAGUCUGGUGUGAAAUCUUCAGGCUCAACCUGAGAUAUGCGCUGGAAACUGGUGGGCUUGAGUUCUUGAGGGGAAGCUGGAAUUCCAGGUGUAGGGGUGAAAUCUGUAGAUAUCUGGAAGAACACCGGUGGCGAAGGCGAGCUUCUAUCAGAGGACUGACGCUGAGGCGCGAAAGCGUGGGGAGCAAACAGGAUUAGAUACCCUGGUAGUCCACGCUGUAAACGAUGUGCACUAGGCGUGGGGCCCGUACGGGUUCUGUGCCGUAGUUAACGUGUUAAGUGCACCGCCUGGGGAGUAUGCUCGCAAGGGUG
RNAcentral lists this ribosomal RNA (882 nucleotides) under uncultured bacterium. RNAcentral describes it as "bacterial SSU rRNA". It matches the Rfam family "Bacterial small subunit ribosomal RNA", at positions 28 to 896 of the family's 1533-position model. The record is from RNAcentral.